Non-coding RNA from Pelobates cultripes (western spadefoot toad), 605 nucleotides. The record is from the annotation of a GenBank genome assembly. NCBI's taxonomy places the organism in Eukaryota, Metazoa, Chordata, Amphibia, Anura, Pelobatidae.
UGUUCUCUAAUUUUAUCGAAUGAGAGUAUGUCUCUCUUUACUCUCAGACUUGCGAUCUUGACUUUUAGAACUCCUUUCCUUUGAGUCAGAUGAUGUUUUAACACUUAUAACCGGCUCGCCUUUUGAUUUGUCCAUGACAACAGUACGUUCUGUUCUUCUACUUCCUGACUUGCUAGUUCUAGAAUGAUCUGUUCCAGACUUGGGUUCUUCCUUGUCUUUUUCAGUAUCCUCUUUUUCUUCAGGUUUAGUAUCAUCUUUAGCAGCCGCUUCAUCUUUCUUCACCGGUGAGGACUUUUCGGACUUGUUAUCAGUUGAUGUACGCCUGUCAUUGCUAGAAGUCUUUUCUUUCUUUGGCUCAUUUUCUUUCUUUCAGGUUUCUUUCCAGCAGGCUCGCUUUUAGCCUUUUCCAGAGAGAUCAUUCUUCCAUGUAGCUCAGUUCUGUGAAGGUGGGUUAUACAUUUGGUUGCAUCCUCAGAAGAGGAUAUUGUGACAAAUCCAUAACAAUGGGCACCAGGACUACGAGCAUUUGUAACCACUUUUCCCUCUACCACCUUUCCAUAUUUGCAGAAGAGAUUUUUCAAAUCAGUUGCUCUUGUGGUGGAUGA